GAGGACCGAACCGACUAAUGUUGAAAAAUUAGCGGAUGACCUGUGGCUGGGGGUGAAAGGCCAAUCAAACCGGGAGAUAGCUGGUUCUCCCCGAAAGCUAUUUAGGUAGCGCCUCGUGAAUUCAUCUUCGGGGGUAGAGCACUGUUUCGGCUAGGGGGCCAUCCCGGCUUACCAACCCGAUGCAAACUGCGAAUACCGAAGAAUGGUAUCACGGGAGACACACGGCGGGUGCUAACGUCCGUCGUGAAGAGGGAAACAACCCAGACCGCCAGCUAAGGUCCCGAAGUCAUGGUUAAGUGGGAAACGAUGUGGGAAGGCCCAGACAGCCAGGAUGUUGGCUUAGAAGCAGCCAUCAUUGAAAGAAAGCGUAAUAGCUCACUGGUCGAGUCGGCCUGCGCGGAAGAUGUAACGGGGCUAAACCAUGCACCGAAGCUGCGGCAGUGACACGCAAGUGUUAUUGGGUAGGGGAGCGUUCUGUAAGCCGGAGAAGGUGGAGCUGUGAGGCCUGCUGGAGGUAUCAGAAGUGCGAAUGCUGACAUAAGUAACGAUAAAGCGGGUGAAAAACCCGCUCGCCGGAAGACCAAGGGUUCCUGUCCAACGUUAAUCGGGGCAGGGUGAGUCGACCCCUAAGGUGAGGCCGAGAGGCGUAGCUGAUGGGAAACAGGUUAAUAUUCCUGUACUGAAUGUGACUGCGAAGGGGGGACGGAGAAGGCUAGGCCAUCCGGGCGACGGUUGUCCCGGUUUAAGCGUGUAGGUGGGAGGAGCAGGUAAAUCCGCUCUUCUGUGAACACUGAGGCGUGAUGACGAGCCGUUACGGCGGUGAAGUGGUUGAUGCCCGGCUUCCAGGAAAAGCCUCUAAGCCUCAGGUCAUAUUGAAUCGUACCCCAAACCGACACAGGUGGUCAGGUAGAGAAUACUCAGGCGCUUGAGAGAACUCGGGUGAAGGAACUAGGCAAAAUGGUGCCGUAACUUCGGGAGAAGGCACGCUGGCGGUAGGUGAAGGAGUUUGCCUCCGGAGCUGAAGCCAGUCGCAGAGACCAGCUGGCUGCAACUGUUUAUUAAAAACACAGCACUGUGCAAACACGUAAGUGGACGUAUACGGUGUGAC
This 1108-nucleotide ribosomal RNA is filed under the name Escherichia coli. RNAcentral's name for it is "partial 23S ribosomal RNA". It matches the Rfam family "Bacterial large subunit ribosomal RNA", at positions 769 to 1856 of the family's 2925-position model. The record is from RNAcentral. Lineage: Bacteria; Pseudomonadati; Pseudomonadota; Gammaproteobacteria; Enterobacterales; Enterobacteriaceae.